UCCAGAAUGAAUAAUAGCGUGGUAUGUUGAUAAUUUUUUAUUUUGUCUUGGAUAGGCUGUUCACAUGCAAGUACUCCGUACAUAAGUGAAUCUAGUGGAUCAUAUACGUCUUUACCUGAAGACUUCAACGGCACUGUCUUUAAAUUCCAUGUCCAGGACCCUGAUAAAGGGGACAGUAUAACAGUAAGACCAGCUGAUGACACAACUGCCAACUACUUCCGUAUUAUUCCAUCCGGAAGUGGAAAUGAUGUCUGGGUAAAUGUAACUGUUAAGAAACCUUUGGACAGAGAAACACUGGGAAGCAUGGUGAAGAUGCAUUUUUCAAUAACAGACCUUCAAACCAAUCAGGUAAGCUUUGAGCAUACGGUUUAUAUUUCUGAUGUUAAUGACAAUCAGCCAGUGUUUGACAAAUUAGUAUACAUGUUCGGAAUAAAUGAGUUACCCUGCAACCAAACAACAGUUUACACGAGCAUACGUGCAACAGAUCAGGACACGAAUGCAAAUGGUAGAUUAAGAUAUUCCAUGGCGCCAUCUGCGCAGGUAAGUUAUUUUCA
This is a long non-coding RNA of Mercenaria mercenaria, 554 nucleotides long. RefSeq lists it as uncharacterized. NCBI's taxonomy places the organism in Eukaryota, Metazoa, Mollusca, Bivalvia, Venerida, Veneridae. The transcript is spliced from 6 exons. The record is from RefSeq and is a predicted model, not a curated record.